Molecule: ribosomal RNA, 301 nt
Filed under: uncultured bacterium
Lineage: Bacteria
Description: partial 16S ribosomal RNA
Rfam family: Bacterial small subunit ribosomal RNA
Source: RNAcentral
CAGCCGCCGCGGGAAAACGUAGGUGGCAAGCGUUGUCCGGAAUUAUUGGGCGUAAAGGGCUCGCAGGCGGUUUCUUAAGUCUGAUGUGAAAGCCCCCGGCUCAACCGGGGAGGGUCAUUGGAAACUGGGAAACUUGAGUGCAGAAGAGGAGAGUGGAAUUCCACGUGUGGCGGUGAAAUGCGUAGAGAUGUGGAGGAGCACCAGUGGCGGAGGCGACUCUCUGGUCUGUAACUGACGCUGAGGAGCGAAAGCGUGGGGAGCGAACAGGAUUAGAUACCCCCGUAGUCCCUGUCUCUUAUAC